This 495-nucleotide ribosomal RNA is filed under the name uncultured bacterium. RNAcentral's name for it is "partial 16S ribosomal RNA". It matches the Rfam family "Bacterial small subunit ribosomal RNA", at positions 28 to 507 of the family's 1533-position model. The record is from RNAcentral.
GGCGAACGCUGGCGGCGUGCCUAAUACAUGCAAGUAGAACGCUGAAGGAGGAGCUUGCUCUUCUGGAUGAGUUGCGAACGGGUGAGUAACGCGUAGGUAACCUGCCUGGUAGCGGGGGAUAACUAUUGGAAACGAUAGCUAAUACCGCAUAAGAGUAGAUGUUGCAUGACAUUUGCUUAAAAGGUGCAAUUGCAUCACUACCAGAUGGACCUGCGUUGUAUUAGCUAGUUGGUGGGGUAACGGCUCACCAAGGCGACGAUACAUAGCCGACCUGAGAGGGUGAUCGGCCACACUGGGACUGAGACACGGCCCAGACUCCUACGGGAGGCAGCAGUAGGGAAUCUUCGGCAAUGGACGGAAGUCUGACCGAGCAACGCCGCGUGAGUGAAGAAGGUUUUCGGAUCGUAAAGCUCUGUUGUAAGAGAAGAACGAGUGUGAGAGUGGAAAGUUCACACUGUGACGGUAUCUUACCAGAAAGGGACGGCUAACUACGUG